RNAcentral lists this long non-coding RNA (466 nucleotides) under Ananas comosus (pineapple). RNAcentral describes it as "long non-coding RNA (ACOM_LNC026755)". Lineage: Eukaryota; Viridiplantae; Streptophyta; Magnoliopsida; Poales; Bromeliaceae. The record is from RNAcentral.
GGCUCGGGGCGUGACAUAUUAUCUCUCCUGAAUGCGUGUAGUAGGGGUGGAAUUGCUAUUGUGGGUUGGGCAAGGGAUUUGUGGGUUGGGCAAGGGAUAGUAUGAGUAGGUUGAUAUUUUUUCUGAGAGCGGAGCGAUUUGUGGGUUGGGCAAGGGAUAUUUUGAGGAGUCGGUUGAAUUUUGAAUCCGGUUGUUGAGGGUUGGUUGGGAGUUCAAAAAUUCAAAAAUUGAAUGUUUUGAAGUUCAAACUUGAAUUUUGGGAUGUGGAUGUGAUUGGUUGAGAAAGGAUAUUUAGGGAGUUCGUUGGAGAUUCAAAAUUCGAAAUUGAAUUUUGAACGGAAAGGUAUAUGUAUGAGAUCAUUAGGAUGAGGGAUAUUUUCUAGUUGGUUAGGGAUUUAAAAAUUCGAAAUUAAAUUUGUCUAUAAUCAAAAUUCAAAAUUAAAAUUUUGAAUGUGAGUGUAAAUGU